Molecule: transfer RNA, 87 nt
Rfam family: tRNA
About the family: Transfer RNA (tRNA) molecules are approximately 80 nucleotides in length. Their secondary structure includes four short double-helical elements and three loops (D, anti-codon, and T loops). Further hydrogen bonds mediate the characteristic L-shaped molecular structure. tRNAs have two regions of fundamental functional importance: the anti-codon, which is responsible for specific mRNA codon recognition, and the 3' end, to which the tRNAs corresponding amino acid is attached (by aminoacyl-tRNA synthetases). tRNAs cope with the degeneracy of the genetic code in two manners: having more than one tRNA (with a specific anti-codon) for a particular amino acid; and 'wobble' base-pairing, i.e. permitting non-standard base-pairing at the 3rd anti-codon position.
GGGGAUGUGGCGGAAUUGGCAGACGCAACAGACUCAAAAUCUGUCGAUCGCAGGGUCGUAAGGGUUCGAGUCCCUUCAUCCCCACCA